RNAcentral lists this ribosomal RNA (468 nucleotides) under uncultured bacterium. RNAcentral describes it as "partial 16S ribosomal RNA". It matches the Rfam family "Bacterial small subunit ribosomal RNA", at positions 28 to 507 of the family's 1533-position model. The record is from RNAcentral.
GACGAACGCUGGCGGCGUGCUUAACACAUGCAAGUCGAACGGAAAGGCCCUGCUUUUGUGGGGUGCUCGAGUGGCGAACGGGUGAGUAACACGUGAGUAACCUGCCCUUGACUUUGGGAUAACUUCAGGAAACUGGGGCUAAUACCGGAUAGGAGCUCCUGCUGCAUGGUGGGGGUUGGAAAGUUUCGGCGGUUGUGGAUGGACUCGCGGCUUAUCAGCUUGUUGGUGGGGUAGUGGCUUACCAAGGCUUUGACGGGUAGCCGGCCUGAGAGGGUGACCGGCCACAUUGGGACUGAGAUACGGCGCAGACUCCUACGGGAGGCAGCAGUGGGGAAUAUUGCACAAUGGGCGGAAGCCUGAUGCAGCGACGCCGCGUGCGGGAUGACGGCCUUCGGGUUGUAAACCGCUUUCGCCUGUGACGAAGCGUGAGUGACGGUAAUGGGUAAAGAAGCACCGGCUAACUACGUG